This 122-nucleotide small RNA is filed under the name Hydrogenophaga sp. RNAcentral describes it as "Guanidine-I sequence". It matches the Rfam family "Guanidine-I riboswitch aptamer". From Rfam's summary of the family: This family represents a conserved RNA structure found upstream of the ykkC and yxkD genes in Bacillus subtilis and related genes in other bacteria. The function of this family is unclear although it has been suggested that it may function to switch on efflux pumps and detoxification systems in response to harmful environmental molecules. Lineage: Bacteria; Pseudomonadati; Pseudomonadota; Betaproteobacteria; Burkholderiales; Comamonadaceae. The record is from RNAcentral.
CUUGAAGACCGCUAGGGUUCCGGGCUCCGCGCAGUUGACCACCGACUGACGCGGAGCCGUCUGGUCCGAGAGCAGUCGGCCACCAUCGCGUGGUUCCACGGAGGGACAAAAGCCCGGGAGAC